AAAUUUUGCUGUUUUUGGUUAUUAUCUUGAAUAUUAUUAUAGAUAGAGAUAAACUGUAAACAGCAAUAAUGUUGAGCAAAGUAAGAUUUACAAAUAAGUCAACAUGAUUGAAAUGGUCAGUUGACCCCUUUAGGAGUUAUUGCCCUUUAUAGUCAAUUUUUAACCAUUUUUCGUAAAUCUUAGUUAUCUUUUACAAAAAUCUUCUCCUCUGAAACUACUGGGCCAAGUUCAUUAUAAAUAGAGAUAAUUGUAAGCAGUAAGAAUGUUCAGUAAAGUAAGAUGUACAAACACAUCACCAUCACAGAAACACAAUUUUGUCAUGAAUCCAUCUGCGUCCUUUGUUUAAUAUUCACAUAGACCAAGGUGAGCGACACA
This 375-nucleotide long non-coding RNA is filed under the name Mytilus galloprovincialis (Mediterranean mussel). Lineage: Eukaryota; Metazoa; Mollusca; Bivalvia; Mytilida; Mytilidae. The record is from RNAcentral.